Stegodyphus mimosarum is the source of this 73-nucleotide non-coding RNA. NCBI's taxonomy places the organism in Eukaryota, Metazoa, Arthropoda, Arachnida, Araneae, Eresidae. The record is from Rfam.
GUCUUCGUGGUGCAAUGGCCAGCGCACUCGGCGCGUAUUCGAGAGGUCCGAGGUUCGAGUCCCGGUGAAGGCA